Molecule: ribosomal RNA, 497 nt
Filed under: uncultured bacterium
Lineage: Bacteria
Description: partial 16S ribosomal RNA
Rfam family: Bacterial small subunit ribosomal RNA
Source: RNAcentral
GAUGAACGCUGGCUGCGUGCCUAAUACAUGCAAGUCGAGCGAACAGACGAGGAGCUUGCUCCUCUGACGUUAGCGGCGGACGGGUGAGUAACACGUGGAUAACCUACCUAUAAGACUGGGAUAACUUCGGGAAACCGGAGCUAAUACCGGAUAAUAUAUUGAACCGCAUGGUUCAAUAGUGAAAGACGGUUUUGCUGUCACUUAUAGAUGGAUCCGCGCCGCAUUAGCUAGUUGGUAAGGUAACGGCUUACCAAGGCAACGAUGCGUAGCCGACCUGAGAGGGUGAUCGGCCACACUGGAACUGAGACACGGUCCAGACUCCUACGGGAGGCAGCAGUAGGGAAUCUUCCGCAAUGGGCGAAAGCUUGACGGAGCAACGCCGCGUGAGUGAUGAAGGUCUUCGGAUCGUAAAACUCUGUUAUUAGGGAAGAACAAAUGUGUAAGUAACUAUGCACGUCUUGACGGUACCUAAUCAGAAAGCCACGGCUAACUACGUG